Molecule: ribosomal RNA, 428 nt
Filed under: uncultured bacterium
Lineage: Bacteria
Description: partial 16S ribosomal RNA
Rfam family: Bacterial small subunit ribosomal RNA
Source: RNAcentral
GUGGGGAAUAUUGCGCAAUGGGGGAAACCCUGACGCAGCAACGCCGCGUGAUUGAAGAAGGCCUUCGGGUUGUAAAGAUCUUUAAUUGGGGACGAAAUAAAUGACGGUACCCAAAGAAUAAGCUCCGGCUAACUACGUGCCAGCAGCCGCGGUAAUACGUAGGGAGCAAGCGUUAUCCGGAUUUACUGGGUGUAAAGGGCGAGUAGGCUGGCCGACAAGUUGGGAGUGAAAUCCGGGGGCUUAACCCCCGAACUGCUUUCAAAACUGUUGGUCUUGAGUGAUGGAGAGGCAGGCGGAAUUCCCAGUGUAGCGGUGAAAUGCGUAGAUAUUGGGAGGAACACCAGUGGCGAAGGCGGCCUGCUGGACAUUAACUGACGCUGAGGCGCGAAAGCGUGGGGAGCAAACAGGAUUAGAAACCCGGGUAGUCC